GAUCAGGCUCAGAUUGAACGCUGGCGGCAGGCCUAACACAUGCAAGUCGAGCGGUAGCACAGAGAGCUUGCUCUCGGGUGACGAGCGGCGGACGGGUGAGUAAUGUCUGGGAAACUGCCUGAUGGAGGGGGAUAACUACUGGAAACGGUAGCUAAUACCGCAUAACGUCGCAAGACCAAAGUGGGGGACCUUCGGGCCUCAUGCCAUCAGAUGUGCCCAGAUGGGAUUAG
This 230-nucleotide ribosomal RNA is filed under the name uncultured bacterium. Its description in RNAcentral is "partial 16S ribosomal RNA". It matches the Rfam family "Bacterial small subunit ribosomal RNA", at positions 15 to 244 of the family's 1533-position model. The record is from RNAcentral.